AUGCCAUCUAUAAAUAAAAAAACGUUUCACACAAGGGAAUCCUUGCAUUGGCCGGCCCAUGCGUUCGGGCCCUCCUAUACUGCGCUCUGUGCACUACAAGAAGAUGCAGCACGCCCGUUUGGGCAGCCCCAUGUCCGGGCGGCCUGCUUCAUAAAUUUCGUUUUUUCUUUUUCUUUUUUUACUUUAUUAAUUUGGUACUUUAAAAAAGUUUCUAAAAUUAAAAAAAUAAGAAUUUUGAAAAAAUGUUUAAUGAAUCAUCAAAUGUUUGUGGAUUCAAAAACUAUUAGCGAUUUUGUAAAAAAAAUGUUUGCUUAUUAA
Molecule: ribosomal RNA, 318 nt
Filed under: Triticum aestivum (bread wheat)
Lineage: Eukaryota; Viridiplantae; Streptophyta; Magnoliopsida; Poales; Poaceae
Description: partial small subunit ribosomal RNA
Source: RNAcentral